AGAUACACAGGGGAUGGAGUCCCCCGGGUAACCGCCCUGGCCGGGCUGAUGACUCCUACGCUACC
This 65-nucleotide non-coding RNA is filed under the name Nitrospirota bacterium. RNAcentral describes it as "Nitrospirae bacterium Fluoride sequence". It matches the Rfam family "Fluoride riboswitch aptamer (crcB RNA motif)". The record is from RNAcentral. Lineage: Bacteria; Pseudomonadati; Nitrospirota.